This is a long non-coding RNA of Sapajus apella (tufted capuchin), 1165 nucleotides long. RefSeq lists it as uncharacterized. The record is from RefSeq and is a predicted model, not a curated record. Lineage: Eukaryota; Metazoa; Chordata; Mammalia; Primates; Cebidae. The transcript is spliced from 2 exons.
AUAGGAAGUCUUCAGUGACAUUCUUAAGCCCUGAGCAUCUUCCUUAUAUUCUGCUUUAAGAACUUGUUAGUUACUGUACUUGAUAUUCAGUGGCUCUGUGCUUGGAUGUCCUGGUCCCACAGAGGACCUUGAAUACCCUGUCUCAGUUUGGGCCUUACUUACAAGGACCUUCCUCCCUGUCUUAACCAGAUUGUGUUUUAACCUUUAAAAAGUUCGAUGUACUCACUUUUUACUUUUUGUUCAUGGAUAGUGUUUGUCCUUGUGUGUGUGUGUGUGUGUGUGUGUGUGUGUAUCAAUGAGUGAGUGAGUGAAUAUCUGUCAUGCUCUUAAUUUGUUUAAAGGCAGAAAGUACUGUUCUCUUGUUUGCUGUUUUAUCCACUCUGCCUCUACUGGACCUGGCGCAUAAUAAAGAAAGAGUGAACAGGACAAACAUUCAUUCUGAAAAGUAAACUUCUCUGGCAAUUGUGGUUUGUACCUAGCAGCCUGAGAAUAGACAAUUGGCUUUUUAAUGUGAUAAGGGAAAAGGUCAAAAGAAAGUCAUAUUCAUUUACCAAAGUGCUUCCAGCAGAUGAUAUUUAUAAUCUCAAAAGGGCGUUUUUAAUAUAUAACGUGCUUUGAUGGAACAAAUUAUAUAUCCUGAUUGAGGUAGUUGUUAUAUAAAUCUAUAUAUAUGAUAAAGUUUUAUUAAUAGUAAUAGUAUUGUAAAAAAACCAAACAAACAACAAACACUAUGUAAAAACUAGUGAAAUCUGAACGUGGUCUGUAGUUUAUUAAUAGUAAUAGUAUUGUACACAAUGUUAAGUUCAUGCUUUUGAUAAUUGUAUUGUUAUUAUGUAAGAUACGGGAGAAGCUGGGUGAAGGAUACAGGGGAACAUUCUACAAUGUUUGUAUCUUCUAUGUGAAUAUAGAGUUAUUUCAAAAUCAAAAGUUAAAAACAACACAGAGAUACCACUACACACCUGUUAAAAUGAAUAAAAAGCAAACAAACAAAACAGAAACAGAUAAUACCAAGUACUAAUAAAGAUGCAUAGCAACUAGAACUCUCUUACAUUGCUGGUGAGAGUGUAAGAUGAUACAACCACUUUGGAAAAUAGGUGGUUUCUUACAAAGUUAAAUAUGUACCAUAUAAGCUAGUAGUUUCACUCCUAAGUAUUUAUCCAAGAGA